Molecule: unclassified non-coding RNA, 240 nt
Filed under: Basidiomycota sp.
Lineage: Eukaryota; Fungi; Basidiomycota
Description: partial contains small subunit ribosomal RNA, internal transcribed spacer 1, and 5.8S ribosomal RNA
Rfam family: Eukaryotic small subunit ribosomal RNA (bases 1-47)
Source: RNAcentral
AAAGUCGUAACAAGGUUUCCGUAGGUGAACCUGCGGAAGGAUCAUUAACAAAUUCAAACACUGACGUUCCACUUGACUGCUGUUGUUGGUUUCUCUUUCAUGGAAGUUUUUUUAUGAAAGAGAGGCUUCCAAUGGUACCAAGUGGAGUGUACAUCAUCAUACACACCUUUUGAUUGACAACACCUAGUGAUUAUCUAGUUAAUUUGUAGACAACUUUUAACAAUGGAUCUCUUGGCUCUU